GCGGCGAGUGGCGAACGGGUGAGUAAUACAUCGGAACGUGCCCAAUCGUGGGGGAUAACGCCGCGAAAGCUGUGCUAAUACCGCAUACGAUCUACGGAUGAAAGCAGGGGAUCGCAAGACCUUGCGCGAAUGGAGCGGCCGAUGGCAGAUUAGGUAGUUGGUGAGGUAAAGGCUCACCAAGCCUUCGAUCUGUAGCUGGUCUGAGAGGACGACCAGCCACACUGGGACUGAGACACGGCCCAGACUCCUACGGGAGGCAGCAGUGGGGAAUUUUGGACAAUGGGCGAAAGCCUGAUCCAGCCAUGCCGCGUGCAGGAUGAAGGCCUUCGGGUUGUAAACUGCUUUUGUACGGAACGAAACGGCCUUUUCUAAUAAAGAGGGCUAAUGACGGUACCGUAAGAAUAAGCACCGGCUAACUACGUGCCAGCAGCCGCGGUAAUACGUAGGGUGCAAGCGUUAAUCGGAAUUACUGGGCGUAAAGCGUGCGCAGGCGGUUAUGUAAGACAGUUGUGAAAUCCCCGGGCUCAACCUGGGAACUGCAUCUGUGACUG
Molecule: ribosomal RNA, 551 nt
Filed under: Variovorax sp. EECC-280
Lineage: Bacteria; Pseudomonadati; Pseudomonadota; Betaproteobacteria; Burkholderiales; Comamonadaceae
Description: bacterial SSU rRNA
Rfam family: Bacterial small subunit ribosomal RNA
Source: RNAcentral